CUUUUGAGUUUUAUUGCAUCCUUUUAGCAACCUACCAAGAUGGAAACAAGCUUACUGCUGAGGCCCAGGAACUCAGGAUUCCCUCAGUUCCACCACCUGCAGGAUUUGAGGUCCACGGACAGAUAUUAAGUGUCAAUUCUUUAUUCAAAUGCUCUAGCCAGAAGGAGGUUUGAACAGCUCGUGAGCUGAAACAUAGUUUGUCUUUCAACUCCAUGCACCCAAAAUGAAGCUUGGAGAAUCAAAACAUUUCAAUUUCUGGUUUCUGAGUGUAAAGGGACUCAGUGAAGGAGGGGCACAAGAUUCCCUGAGUCUCUCCUCUUAGCCUAAUCUUUUUUUUUUAAUUAUAGGUUGCAAUUGGAGAAAAAUCAGAAAUAUUAUCGAAUUAGAAACAUGAAGUUACACUUGUAAUAGACUUCAGAGAUCAUUUGGUGAGCCAAAGCCUCCUUUCGAUGCUGAGAAAACGUCUCAGAGAGGCAAGAAGACUGGGGGUGGGGGGUUAGUUUUCUCCUACUAUGUAGAUUCUAGGAAUCCAACUCAAGUCAUCAGACUUCUCCCUUCUACCAUGUGGGUUCCAGGGAGCCAACUCAAGUCAUCAGGCUUGGUGGGCUAGCCCAGGCAUACACAUACAUCAGCUUGUGCAGGCCAGUGGUCAAUGACUAAGUUCCUCUUGAGUCACUCCACAUCAUUUUUUUUUUUAUCUAGGGUCUUCUCACUGAGAAUCAGGAACUCGAGGAUUAAGCUGACCAACAGUAUGCCGAAAAGUCAGGACUGAGCAGGUAGCUCACUGGUAAAGCUCUUCCCUAGCUUGAGACCCUACUUCCCAUCUUCAGUCCCACCACACACACCCACAAAAAACAUCAUAUAGCUUAUGAAGUUUGUACAUAGAAAAGCUGCUGUUCUAAGGAUUACUGUCCAUGACAUCAGGAAAGGGGUCCACACAUGCCGCGCGUGCGUGCCCGUGGAGGUCAGAGGACAAGCUGUGGGAGCUGCUUCUCUUGUCUCCUUCCGCCACGCCGCCGUGUGGAUCCAUCCCAGGGAUCGAACUCAAGUCAUCAGGUUUGACAGCAAGCACCUUCACCUGCUAACUCACCUUCUUGCCGCCCUCCCUUGCAGCCAUUUGCAAGAGCAACUACUGUGUUCCCUUAGAACCUUUCCAGUGCAACUGUAUGCCCAUGGAGCUGUGCGCUACACAGAUUAAAUAAAUAUCUGCCCAUUGUU
This is a long non-coding RNA of Peromyscus californicus insignis, 1218 nucleotides long. RefSeq lists it as uncharacterized. NCBI's taxonomy places the organism in Eukaryota, Metazoa, Chordata, Mammalia, Rodentia, Cricetidae. The transcript is spliced from 2 exons. The record is from RefSeq and is a predicted model, not a curated record.